This 274-nucleotide ribosomal RNA is filed under the name uncultured Prevotellaceae bacterium. RNAcentral describes it as "partial 16S ribosomal RNA". It matches the Rfam family "Bacterial small subunit ribosomal RNA", at positions 68 to 339 of the family's 1533-position model. The record is from RNAcentral. Lineage: Bacteria; Pseudomonadati; Bacteroidota; Bacteroidia; Bacteroidales; Prevotellaceae.
ACAUCGAAAGCUUGCUUUUGAUGGGCGUCGACCGGCGCACGGGUGAGUAACGCGUAUCCAACCUGCCCAUCACUUGGGGAUAACCUUGCGAAAGUAAGACUAAUACCCAAUGACAUCCAUAGAAGACAUCUGAAAUGGAUUAAAGAUUUAUCGGUGAUGGAUGGGGAUGCGUCUGAUUAGCUUGUUGGCGGGGUAACGGCCCACCAAGGCGACGAUCGGUAGGGGUUCUGAGAGGAAGGCCCCCACAAUGGGACUGAGACACGGCCCAUACUCC